AGUGAACGCUGGCGGUAGGCCUAACACAUGCAAGUCGAACGACCGCACAGUAAGAUCUUGCUCUUACGGGUGGCGAGUGGCGGACGGGUGAGGAAUACAUCGGAAUCUACUUUUUCUUGGGGGAUAUCGGAGGGAAACUUCCGAUAAUACCUCAUACGUCCUACGGGUGAAAGCAGGAGUUCUUCGCACCUUGCCCGAUACAUUGAGCCGAUGUCGGAUUAGCUAGUUGGCGGGGUAAAGGCCCACCAAGGCGACGAUCCGUAGCUGGUCUGAGAGGAUGAUCAGCCACACUGGAACUGAGACACGGUCCAGACUCCUACGGGAGGCAGCAGUGGGGAAUAUUGGACAAUGGGCGCAAGCCUGAUCCAGCCAUACCGCGUGGGUGAAGAAGGCCUUCGGGUUGUAAAGCCCUUUUGUUGGGAAAGAAAAGCAGCAGGCUAAUACCCCGCUGUUCUGACGGUACCCAAAGAAUAAGCACCGGCUAACUUCGUG
This 492-nucleotide ribosomal RNA is filed under the name uncultured bacterium. RNAcentral's name for it is "partial 16S ribosomal RNA". It matches the Rfam family "Bacterial small subunit ribosomal RNA", at positions 29 to 507 of the family's 1533-position model. The record is from RNAcentral.